This 301-nucleotide ribosomal RNA is filed under the name uncultured bacterium. Its description in RNAcentral is "partial 16S ribosomal RNA". It matches the Rfam family "Bacterial small subunit ribosomal RNA", at positions 509 to 807 of the family's 1533-position model. The record is from RNAcentral.
CAGCCGCCGCGGUAAUACGUAGGGUGCAAGCGUUAAUCGGAAUUACUGGGCGUAAAGCGUGCGCAGGCGGUUAUAUAAGUCAGAUGUGAAAUCCCCGGGCUCAACCUGGGAACUGCAUUUGAGACUGUAUGGCUAGAGUGUGUCAGAGGGGGGUAGAAUUCCACGUGUAGCAGUGAAAUGCGUAGAUAUGUGGAGGAAUACCGAUGGCGAAGGCAGCCCCCUGGGAUAACACUGACGCUCAUGCACGAAAGCGUGGGGAGCAAACAGGAUUAGAUACCCCUGUAGUCCCUGUCUCUUAUAC